Molecule: long non-coding RNA, 743 nt
Organism: Haliotis rubra (blacklip abalone)
Lineage: Eukaryota; Metazoa; Mollusca; Gastropoda; Lepetellida; Haliotidae
Exons: 2
Source: RefSeq, a predicted model, not a curated record
UGAACACCGAUGACAGGUAUGUGCCGGCUAAGCCUGUCCCCGGCGCCAUCGUGGUCAACAUUGGUGAUAUGAUGCAGCGAUGGACUGCGGAUCAGCUUAAAGGCACAAAACACCGGGUCCUGAUUCCUGAAGCGGAACUUAAGAAACAUCAGAGUCGACAAUCAGUUGCUUUCUUUGUCAACCCUAAUAGUGAUACCAUGAUUAAAUGUCUGGAUGGUUCAGACAAAUAUGAACCAAUCUCAUGCGAGGACUAUCUGAACUAUAGGUUCAGUCUGACCUUUUAGUUAUGGAGGGGCGGUGGGGUAGCCCAGUGGUUAAAGCGUUGGCUCGUCACGCCGAAGACCCGGGUUCGAAUCCCCACAUGGGUACAAUUUGUGAAGCCCAUUUCUGGUGUCCCCCGCCGUGACGUUGCUGGAAUAUUGCUAAAAGCGGCGUAAAACCAAAAUUCAGUCAGUCAGUAUUAGUUAUGGGGGCAAGCACUUGCCAACAUUGCUUGGGAAAUCUUAUCCUUAACAAUUAAACCAUAUGUUUUGCCGCUUCAUCGUGUGCGUUUCAUAGCCUACUUUUACAGAAUGGUAAUGCUGAUAGACAUCCCGACAGCAAUGGUACAAGAAUAUUUAUUUUGAGCAUCAUUAAAAUUAUAUGAGGUUAGAUACAUUUUAGGGUAUAACUUGAAUCUUGGUUAGAAAUCACAUAUAGUACUUGGCUUGUUAGUUCUAAAUAUACAGACUAAGGUGAUCACA